RNAcentral lists this transfer RNA (73 nucleotides) under bacterium. Its description in RNAcentral is "tRNA-Val". It matches the Rfam family "tRNA". Rfam says of the family: Transfer RNA (tRNA) molecules are approximately 80 nucleotides in length. Their secondary structure includes four short double-helical elements and three loops (D, anti-codon, and T loops). The record is from RNAcentral.
GGGUGGUUAGCUCAGUUGGUAGAGCAUCUGUUUUACACACAGAGGGUCAGAGGUUCGAGCCCUCUACCACCCA